RNAcentral lists this ribosomal RNA (253 nucleotides) under uncultured bacterium. RNAcentral's name for it is "partial 16S ribosomal RNA". It matches the Rfam family "Bacterial small subunit ribosomal RNA", at positions 524 to 776 of the family's 1533-position model. The record is from RNAcentral.
UACGAAGGGGGCUAGCGUUGCUCGGAAUCACUGGGCGUAAAGCGCACGUAGGCGGGUUGUUAAGUCGGGGGUGAAAUCCCGGAGCUCAACUCCAGAACUGCCUUCGAUACUGGCGACCUUGAGUCCGGGAGAGGUGAGUGGAACUCCGAGUGUAGAGGUGAAAUUCGUAGAUAUUCGGAAGAACACCGGUGGCGAAGGCGGUGAUCUGGGCCGGCACUGACGCUGAGGAGCGAAAGCGUGGGUAGCAAACAGG